AACGGUGUAGUUCAGCGGUUAGAGCAUUGGAAUCAUAUCCCAAAUGUCGGGGGUUCAAAUCCCUCCUCCGUUA
RNAcentral lists this transfer RNA (73 nucleotides) under Sargassum fusiforme. RNAcentral describes it as "tRNA-Met". It matches the Rfam family "tRNA". Rfam says of the family: Transfer RNA (tRNA) molecules are approximately 80 nucleotides in length. Lineage: Eukaryota; Phaeophyceae; Fucales; Sargassaceae. The record is from RNAcentral.